This 1528-nucleotide unclassified non-coding RNA is filed under the name Anneissia japonica. RNAcentral describes it as "dNA polymerase delta subunit 4-like, transcript variant X1". Lineage: Eukaryota; Metazoa; Echinodermata; Crinoidea; Comatulida; Comatulidae. The record is from RNAcentral.
AUAGGACAUGUUGUAGUAUAGACUGUACUGUAUUUUAAACUAAAGUGAGAAGCAAACAUAUUUAUUACAUUUGUUGUAUUUACGUGGUUGUAGUUCUAGGUCUGGUCCUCUGCUGUUUUAUAAAUAUGUCUUCAUCCAAGUUAUCUACCUACUUUCGUGUAAAGAAAGAAUCUAGCGAAUCAUCAAAGAAGAAAAGAAAUAAACAAGAAAAGAUUCUGCCAAAACGAACAGCAACAGAGCCUGAACUGACUGCUGCAGAUAUUUUGCAUCAGAAACAACUGCAGGUGUUGCGGGCAUUUGACCUCAAGUGGGAGUAUGGGCCCUGUGUAGGUGUAAGUAGGCUAGAGAGGUGGGAACAUGCUGAGCAACAUAACCUAAACCCCCCACCUGCUAUAAAGAAGUUAAUUGAGGAUCAUAUUGAUGAUGAAACUUACACCCAGUGUGUGUGGAAUGGCUUUGAGAUAUGACAUGUUUGUGAACUCUGGAGAGGGAAGAACAAACUACCAAGGCUACACAAGGAAGACACUUGGUGAAUUGGAAUUUACCAUAAUCAUCUAUUGAUCAAAGGAAUGUACAUUGUGUUAAAUCCAUUACAUGAAGUAAUGUUUAAUGGCACAAAACAAUGAUGGCUUCUAUUUGUUACGCGUACAUCGCAGAGAACGCCAUCUUGUGUUUAUAGGAUCUUUGAGAAACAUUUAAUGCUGGAAUGAAUAUUGCAAUGCGCUGUGCACACUGGCAAGUUUCUUGUGACAGAUAUCUGUGAUCAACCCAUAUAUGGGCAUGAUGAUAAUGAUGUAAUAUCACACCCAUAUACAGGUAAAUUUUAUCGGAAAAUUUACCUGUAUAUGUAUAUGAUGUAAUAUCACACCCACAGGUAAAUUUUCAGAUUAAAUUAAUAGUGUUAUUAGAGAGCUUACUGUACCACAAGGACCAAAUAAUGUUUGAAUUGAAAAACAAUGACUGAGCAAAUAAUUUGCGUUCUUUUUCAAAUUAGCGCAAACAAUCCCAUGUUUGGAAGGUUUGUAAAUCACUGUGUUCAUUCAAGUGAUUAUAUUUUAUUUAGGAGUUACAUUAAUACUAUUUUAAGAUCUGUUAUAGUUUUAUAAUAGUAUUUGAAAAAUAUAAUGUUUUAUAAUAGUUGAUUUUAACAAAGCAAAAUGAGCUACAUAUGAUUCAUAUCAUAUAACUAUAUGGUAGAAUUCCAUGUUGUGUUGAGUUUCGUAGAAACUGAAUUUUCUAUAAAUAUGUAAGUACAGUAAAUGAUCCAUUGACGUUUAAAUUAAAAAUGAAUGAAUGAUAUAUAAUAAAUAUACUGUAUGCGGUGCAUUUGGGAUGUGAUGUCACAAGGAAAGCAAUACUGUAUGUAGAUUCUAUUGGUGUUUUCUUAUAGUAUUUUAACAUGUUUAAAUUUUUUUCAUAUUUCUACAUAUUUAAGAAGAAGUUAGUACAAAGAUUUUAAUAGCAUAAUACAUUAGUUGUAGUGAGUGCUGUAUUGUUAUUAUCACAAUAAAAUGCAAAAACCAUUGUA